AUUGAACGCUGGCGGCAGGCCUAACACAUGCAAGUCGAACGAGUGGCGGACGGGUGAGUAAUGUCUGGGAACCUGCCUGAUGGAGGGGGAUAACUACUGGAAACGGUAGCUAAUACCGCAUACCAUCAGAUGUGCCCAGAUGGGAUUAGCUGGUGGGGGGGGUAAAGGCUCACCAAGGCCACGAUCCCUAGCUGGUCUGAGAGGAUGACCAGCAACACUGGAACUGCGACACGGCCCAGACCCCUACGGGAGGCGGCAGUGGGAAAUAUUGGAAAAUGGGGGAAGGCCUGACGCGGCCAUGCCGCGUGUAUGAGGAAGGCCUUCGGGUUGUAAAGUACGUUCAGCGGGGAGGCGUUACCCGCAGAAGAAGCACCGGCUAACUCCGUGCCAGCAGCCGCGGUAAUAC
Molecule: ribosomal RNA, 406 nt
Filed under: uncultured bacterium
Lineage: Bacteria
Description: partial 16S ribosomal RNA
Rfam family: Bacterial small subunit ribosomal RNA
Source: RNAcentral